AGAGUUUCAUCCUGGCUCAGGAUGAACGCUAGCGGCAGGCCUAACACAUGCAAGUCGAACGGUAACAGCAGAGCUUGCUCUGGCUGACGAGUGGCGCACGGGUGCGUAACGCGUAUGCAACUUACCCCAAACUGGAGAAUAGCCUUUCGAAAGGAAGAAUAAUACUCCAUAGUAUUUCAAAGAGGCAUCUCUUUGUUCUUAAAGCUUCGGCGGUUUGGGAUGGGCAUGCGUUCUAUUAGUUAGUUGGUGAGGUAACGGCUCACCAAGACCACGAUAGAUAGGGGGCCUGAGAGGGUUAUCCCCCACACUGGUACUGAGACACGGACCAGACUCCUACGGGAGGCAGCAGUGAGGAAUAUUGCACAAUGGACGAAAGUCUGAUGCAGCCAUGCCGCGUGCAGGAUGAAUGCCCUAUGGGUUGUAAACUGCUUUUAUAUAGGAAGAAACUUUUCUACGUGUAGAGAACUGACGGUACUAUAAGAAUAAGGACCGGCUAACUCCGUGCCAGCAGCCGCGGUAAUACGGAGGGUCCAAGCGUUAUCCGGAUUUAUUGGGUUUAAAGGGUCCGUAGGCGGGAAAUUAAGUCAGUGGUGAAAGCCUACAGCUCAACUGUAGAACUGCCAUUGAAACUGAUUUUCUUGAAUAUAGAUGAAGUAGGCGGAAUAUAUCAUGUAGCGGUGAAAUGCAUAGAUAUGAUAUAGAACACCGAUUGCGAAGGCAGCUUACUAAACUAUUAUUGACGCUGAGGGACGAAAGUGUGGGGAGCGAACAGGAUUAGAUACCCUGGUAGUCCACACCGUAAACGAUGAUUACUAGCUGUUGGCGAUACACAGUCAGCGGCGUAGCGAAAGCGUUAAGUAAUCCACCUGGGGAGUACGGUCGCAAGAUUGAAACUCAAAGGAAUUGACGGGGGCCCGCACAAGCGGUGGAGCAUGUGGUUUAAUUCGAUGAUACGCGAGGAACCUUACCAGGGCUUAAAUGUGGUCUGACAGCUUUAGAGAUAGAGUUUUCUUCGGACAGAUCACAAGGUGCUGCAUGGUUGUCGUCAGCUCGUGCCGUGAGGUGUCAGGUUAAGUCCUAUAACGAGCGCAACCCCUAUCGUUAGUUGCUAACAGGUUAAGCUGAGGACUCUAAUGAGACUGCCUACGCAAGUAGUGAGGAAGGCGGGGACGACGUCAAGUCAUCACGGCCCUUACGUCCUGGGCCACACACGUGCUACAAUGGUAGAUACAGAGGGCAGCUACCCCGCGAGGGGAUGCAAAUCUCGAAAGUCUAUCUCAGUUCGGAUUGGAGUCUGCAACUCGACUCCAUGAAGCUGGAAUCGCUAGUAAUCGCGCAUCAGCCAUGGCGCGGUGAAUACGUUCCCGGGCCUUGUACACACCGCCCGUCAAGCCAUGGAAGCUGGGAGUGCCUGAAGUCGGUAACCGUAAGGAGCUGCCUAGGGUAAAACUAGUAACUGGGGCUAAGUCGGAACAAGGUAGCC
RNAcentral lists this ribosomal RNA (1483 nucleotides) under uncultured prokaryote. RNAcentral describes it as "partial 16S ribosomal RNA". It matches the Rfam family "Bacterial small subunit ribosomal RNA". The record is from RNAcentral.